CACACCCCGCCCAGCGCAGCCUCGCCUCAGCAAGCCCAUCAGAAAUCGACUGCUGGCUCUGAUAUCUCUGUGGCGUUUAAACAUGCGAUUUAAUUCAUUUUAAUUUCUUAUACUUAAUAAUAAAAGGUUUACCGGUAUGUUUUAAAUAAUAUUUUAGGAUUGCACUUAAAUGAUAUCGCUGUUGAAUGAUAUUUCAUAUCUUUCACAUUCGUUAUAAUCGGACUGCGUACUGCCUGCGAAUUUGAACUUCAGAGCUGAAGGUCAUUUCAUCUGAGAUCAAUCCGCACGCAACAGCUGGAAUCACUUACUGUUUCACACAAGGAAGGACACACAAGUCAGCCGUUUCCUCAAGUUCACGUCAGAGGGAUACAUAGCGAGACAGUCUCCGCUUGGACUGGCUGAGGAAAGUCUCCUAAAUGGCCCUGGAGAUGUUCUGACUGACUUUGGAGGCUUUUUGGACUGUUUUAUGCCCUCUAUUUAAAGACUUAAUUCUGUAUGUUCAGUCUGUAUGAUAAGUGAAUAAAAAGCUUUUGUUUUUAUGUGA
Molecule: non-coding RNA, 544 nt
Organism: Misgurnus anguillicaudatus (oriental weatherfish)
Lineage: Eukaryota; Metazoa; Chordata; Actinopteri; Cypriniformes; Cobitidae
Source: RefSeq, a predicted model, not a curated record